Molecule: ribosomal RNA, 499 nt
Filed under: uncultured bacterium
Lineage: Bacteria
Description: partial 16S ribosomal RNA
Rfam family: Bacterial small subunit ribosomal RNA
Source: RNAcentral
GACGAACGCUGGCGGCGUGCCUAAUACAUGCAAGUCGAGCGAAGUUUUUCUGGUGCUUGCCCUAGAAAAACUUAGCGGCGAACGGGUGAGUAACACGUAAAGAACCUGCCUCAUAGACUGGGACAACUAUUGGAAACGAUAGCUAAUACCGGAUAACAGUAUUUCUCGCAUGAGAGAUAUUUAAAAGUUGGUUAUGCUAACACUAUGAGAUGGCUUUGCGGUGCAUUAGCUAGUUGGUGGGGUAAAGGCCCACCAAGGCGACGUUGCAUAGCCGACCUGAGAGGGUGAUCGGUCACACUGGGACUGAGACACGGCCCAGACUCCUACGGGAGGCAGCAGUAGGGAAUCUUCCGCAAUGGGCGAAAGCCUGACGGAGCAACGCCGCGUGAGUGAAGAAGGAUUUCGGUUCGUAAAGCUCUGUUGUUAGGGAAGAAUGGAUAUGUAGUAACUAUACAUGUAAGAGACGGUACCUAAGCAGAAAGCCACGGCUAACUACGUG